Molecule: long non-coding RNA, 1066 nt
Filed under: Numida meleagris (helmeted guineafowl)
Lineage: Eukaryota; Metazoa; Chordata; Aves; Galliformes; Numididae
Description: lncRNA (ENSNMEG00000005128.1)
Source: RNAcentral
UGCAACUGAACAAUAAGCAGAUCUUGAGUAGGAAUGGGGGCUGAAGUGCUCAGUGUGCACAGCCAUGGGCUGACACUCACAAAUACAAAUUAUAUUCUUGUCUCUAUGGUGGACACUGAUCAUGUAUUCCCAUAUGCUCUUCUUUUUUCCACCUGCAAGUUCUCCACAGAGGGCAGAGCAGUGUCUGGGGUGGCUGACUGGCCAGGGACUGCCAAGCAAAUUCAUUGUGAUGUUGCAAAUCUGAAAUCACGCAGGGGCUGAACUUGCAGCCUCGCUCUGGCUCAGCAAAAUAUGUGGAUUAGGACCAGGCCCAGCCACCCAGCCUAAGAGCACUCGAUGAGAGGGAAGCAGCCCCUGCCUGGGCCUGUCAGACAGCCCUGUGACAAAUGGCCUCAAGGCCAGAGAGCAACUCUGUCAAAGCAGGCCCUGAGACUUGGCUAGUAGCUCCCCAAGGCCAGGACAGAACUCAGCCAGGGCCUCGAGGCUUAGUGGACACUCAGUGCUACAGUACACAGCCUACUGGAAUUUGUCUCUGAAAUAUAUUUAAUCACAUAGGAAAAAGAAUGGAGUAGAGAGUUUCCUUUGGUAAGAUUUUGACCAGAAUAUGUGCCUUGAUAUGCAUUAGAGAAGAUGGAAAGGGCUGAUGUAGAUGCAGCUCAGAUGGGUAAAUGUACCCAGUUAUCACAACUGUGCUGCUCGUUGCCAUUAGCCUGCUUUCUAUCACACCCUGUGCAUGGAUAUGGUCUGUGGCUGUGUAAUACCCAACAGCCCUUCAGAAAACUUGAAGAACAGCAACAAUUGCUACAGUGGAAGCAGAAGAACAAGAAUGGAAGCAACUUUCAUCUUUCUGACUCAUUAACUCUGAAAUGAGGAGAUAUCGUGAUUGGUCAUGAAGGUGCCUCAGAGAAUCUAAAAGCUGCAAGGAAGAAACAAUAAUUAGUUUUCAUUUUUGUGUCUUCCUUUUAUUUUAUCUUUUGCUUCAGGGAAACAUGCCAGGAAGACUUUAUUCAAAACGAACUGCAUCUAAAUUUCAAAUAAAGCUCAAGAAUAAUUGUAACUUUUGUCA